CCAAUAGCGUAUAUUAAAGUUGUUGCAGUUAAAAAGCUCGUAGUUGAAUUUCGGGGUCAAUAAGUUGGUCGUGCCAAUGGUAUGCACUGGCUUUAUUGAUUCCUACCUCUUGACGAACUGUGAUGCCAUUAAUUUGGUGUUGCAAGGAAUCAGGACUGUUACCUUGAAAAAAUUAGAGUGUUUAAAGCAAGCUUACGCUUGAAUACAUUAGCAUGGAAUAAUGAAAUAGGACGUUUGAUCCUAUUUUGUUGGUUUCUAGGAUCGACGUAAUGAUUAAUAGGGAUAGUUGGGGGCAUUAGUAUCCAAUUGUCAGAGGUGAAAUUCUUGGAUUUAUUGAAGACUAACUACUGCGAAAGCAUUUGCCAAGGAUGUUUUCAUUAAUCAAGAACGAAAGUUAGGGGAUCGAAGACGAUCAGGUACCGUCGUAGUCUUAACCAUAAACUAUGCCGACUAGGGAUCGGAUGAUGUUAAUUUUUUAAUGACUCAUUCGGCGCCUUACG
RNAcentral lists this ribosomal RNA (500 nucleotides) under uncultured Glomeromycotina. RNAcentral's name for it is "partial small subunit ribosomal RNA". It matches the Rfam family "Eukaryotic small subunit ribosomal RNA", at positions 591 to 1092 of the family's 1831-position model. Lineage: Eukaryota; Fungi; Glomeromycota. The record is from RNAcentral.